GGCGAAAUGUGCAUAAACAUUUACCUCAACUCUUCUAUCGUACAGCACCCUGAAUGAUUGAAAGAUACAACCAAAGUUCUCGUGUUUGAACAAGUUUUGUUUUGAGCUAUAUCAUGGCUGCUUGUGAAGUAUUAUUUGCGUGUUUUAUUUAAAUCAGUGAUCUGUAGCCUAAUUAAAUUUUAAAUUAUUGAAGCACGCAUUUUUAAAUAAGUAAAACGUAAAAUAAAAGUUUUCUAAAGCCAAAAUAUGGAAUUGAAGAGGGUGAUACAGUAAUACUUCAUUGCACUGCCAAUUCGAAGCACGCAAUAGAAGCUACGCCAACAAUGGUCAACAUCAAGGGCGAAACCAUUGAAUACAUAUUUCAAACCUCAUACGGCGCAUUAAAGGUACGCAACCUAAUUGGUGUCAUUUAUGGUAGCAGCGUAGAACUUUCGAAUCGAUGGAAUAUGUGCUGCAAGCAAAUCCAGAACUAUGGUUACAAACGCUGCUACAUCGAACACAAAUCAUUUACACACCAGAUAUUAGGUUUAAUGUCAAUUUUUUACGUGCAAUUAAACCUUUUGCUCAACACAAGCCCGGGAAGUACUGAAACGACAUGGUUUAGGUGCUUUUGUAACCGUUUAUCAUCGCGACGUGUGUAAACUGGGUUUUGCCAAUGGGUUAUAGGGCAAAGCUUUUGCAGUAUUUUUAGAAUUACCGGCCCCUCAGUUGGCCGUGCCAUUAGCAGCUAAAACUCAGAAAUUAAAGGGUACAUUUAAGUGAAUGUUUGUGAUCAUCGAAAUUUAAAAACUUCUUGUAUGUAUUGAGCAAUCAUAACGUUGUUGUAUCGCUUUACAAGGACAUGGAUUCACCGAAAUUAGUUCAUUGGAAAUACUACAGCAAGAGCAUGGACAUAAGAAAUUGGAUGAAUCUAGUACCAGUGAAAUUAAUGAAAGAACAGAUCUUCCAAAUCUCCUAUAGAAACCAAAAGGGUCCUCACAUAAUCUGCGCAGCUUACACUUCCAGGCCGCUCGGGGUAUUUGACAUUUGCCACUCUUCCUCCAGCCUUUAUCAGAUAGCAAAAAUUGUUCAACUAUUCAAUACGUUUUACAUAUGUAUAUAGUGUAGUACGAUAAUACAUUUAUAAAGUAAAUAAACACCGA
Zeugodacus cucurbitae (melon fly) is the source of this 1142-nucleotide long non-coding RNA. RefSeq lists it as uncharacterized. The transcript is spliced from 3 exons. The record is from RefSeq and is a predicted model, not a curated record. NCBI's taxonomy places the organism in Eukaryota, Metazoa, Arthropoda, Insecta, Diptera, Tephritidae.